RNAcentral lists this non-coding RNA (101 nucleotides) under Aeribacillus pallidus. RNAcentral's name for it is "TPP sequence". It matches the Rfam family "TPP riboswitch aptamer (THI element)". From Rfam's summary of the family: Vitamin B(1) in its active form thiamin pyrophosphate (TPP) is an essential coenzyme that is synthesised by coupling of pyrimidine and thiazole moieties in bacteria. The previously detected thiamin-regulatory element, thi box was extended, resulting in a new, highly conserved RNA secondary structure, the THI element, which is widely distributed in eubacteria and also occurs in some archaea. Lineage: Bacteria; Bacillati; Bacillota; Bacilli; Caryophanales; Bacillaceae. The record is from Rfam by way of RNAcentral.
ACAUACCACUAGGGGAGCCGAAAGGCUGAGAAAGGCGUGUGCCUUGACCCUUUGAACCUGAUCUAGAUCAUACUAGCGUAGGGAAGUGGUGCAGUAAUAUC